UCGGUUGUUAACACUGAGGCGUGACGACGAGCCACUACGGUGGUGAAGUGAUUGAUGCUCUGCUUCCGGGAAAAGCCUCUAAGCUCCAGGUUACCAUUAAUCGUACCCCAAACCGACACAGGUGGUCAGGUAGAGAAUACUCAGGCGCUUGAGAGAACUCGGGUGAAGGAACUAGGCAAAAUGGUGCCGUAACUUCGGGAGAAGGCACGCUGGCAUUAGGUGAAGUGGUUUACCCAUGGAGCUGAAGCCAGCCGCAGAUACCAGCUGGCUGCAACUGUUUAUUAAAAACACAGCACUGUGCAAACACGAAAGUGGACGUAUACGGUGUGACGCCUGCCCGGUGCCGGAAGGUUAAUUGAUGAGGUUAGCGUAAGCGAAGCUUCUGAUCGAAGCCCCGGUAAACGGCGGCCGUAACUAUAACGGUCCUAAGGUAGCGAAAUUCCUUGUCGGGUAAGUUCCGACCUGCACGAAUGGCGUAAUGAUGGCCAGGCUGUCUCCACCCGAGACUCAGUGAAAUUGAACUCGCUGUGAAGAUGCAGUGUACCCGCGGCAAGACGGAAAGACCCCGUGAACCUUUACUAUAGCUUGACACUGAACAUUGAGCCUUGAUGUGUAGGAUAGGUGGGAGGCAACGAAGCGUGGACGCCAGUCUGCGCGGAGCCAUCCUUGAAAUACCACCCUUUAACGUUUGAUGUUCUAACCCGGGUCCAUAAUCUGGAUCGGGGACCGUGUCUGGUGGGUAGUUUGACUGGGGCGGUCUCCUCCCAAAGAGUAACGGAGGAGCACGAAGGUUGGCUAAGCAUGGUCGGACAUCAUGCGGUUAGUGCAAAGGCAUAAGCCAGCUUGACUGCGAGAGUGACGGCUCGAGCAGGUACGAAAGUAGGUCUUAGUGAUCCGGUGGUUCUGAAUGGAAGGGCCAUCGCUCAACGGAUAAAAGGUACUCCGGGGAUAACAGGCUGAUACCGCCCAAGAGUUCAUAUCGACGGCGGUGUUUGGCACCUCGAUGUCGGCUCAUCACAUCCUGGGGCUGAAGUAGGUCCCAAGGGUAUGGCUGUUCGCCAUUUAAAGUGGUACGCGAGCUGGGUUUAGAACGUCGUGAGACAGUUCGGUCCCUAUCUGCCGUGGGCGCUGGAAGAUUGAGAGGGGUUGCUCCUAGUACGAGAGGACCGGAGUGAACGCACCACUGGUGUACGGGUUGUGAUGCCAAUUGCAUUGCCCGGUAGCUAAGUGCGGAAGAGAUAACCGCUGAAAGCAUCUAAGCGGGAAACUUGCCUCGAGAUGAGUCUUCCCUGACCCUUUAAGGGUCCUGAAGGAACGUUUGAGACUAAGACGUUGAUAGGCUGGGUGUGUAAGCGCAGCGAUGCGUUGAG
Molecule: ribosomal RNA, 1370 nt
Filed under: Morganella morganii subsp. morganii
Lineage: Bacteria; Pseudomonadati; Pseudomonadota; Gammaproteobacteria; Enterobacterales; Morganellaceae
Description: partial 23S ribosomal RNA
Rfam family: Bacterial large subunit ribosomal RNA
Source: RNAcentral